This 688-nucleotide unclassified non-coding RNA is filed under the name Boletaceae sp. 15 CG-2012. Its description in RNAcentral is "sequence contains ITS1, 5.8S rRNA gene, ITS2". The stretch from base 258 to 412 matches the Rfam family "5.8S ribosomal RNA". Lineage: Eukaryota; Fungi; Basidiomycota; Agaricomycetes; Boletales; Boletaceae. The record is from RNAcentral.
UAUCGAAUUUAAAUUCAUUGAGGGAAGAUGGAAUAGCAGUCUAGGAUUGUCGCUGGCUCUCUACAUGUGUGCAUGUGCACGUCCUUGCUAUCUCUGUCGACCUUUCAACAUACACACACCCGUGCACCUAUUGUAGGUCCUCGCAAGAGGAUCUAUGUAUUUUCACUUCACAACCCUAUCGUAUGUCCAUAGAAUGUUAUCUCAAAGACCUUCCGAGCUUGAUUGAUCGGUUGGUCAAUGAAAUAAAAAUCAUAUACAACUUUCAGCAACGGAUCUCUUGGCUCUCGCAUCGAUGAAGAACGCAGCGAAUUGCGAUAAGUAAUGUGAAUUGCAGAUUUCCAGUGAAUCAUCGAAUCUUUGAACGCACCUUGCGCUCCUUGGUAUUCCGAGGAGCAUGCCUGUUUGAGUGUCAUUUAAUUCUCAACCAUGUCUUCAUUGACUUGGCUUGGAGUUGGGGGUUUGCUGGCGGUGUUCUCUAUCAUCAGCUCUCCUGAAAUGCAUUCGUGAUCAGUUGUUAUUAGGGCAUGCACGGCCUUUCGACGUGAUAAUGAUCGUCGAGGGCUGGAGUGUCCUUGACUUAACUAGAUCGCUUUCAUUACUUGCAAGCAAGCUCUUGCUUUUUGGUUAUUAGCUGGUCAACGGCGAACACCAAAGCGUAGACUUGACUUGACUUGACUUUUGAAACUUG